RNAcentral lists this ribosomal RNA (1000 nucleotides) under Bacillus amyloliquefaciens. RNAcentral's name for it is "bacterial SSU rRNA". It matches the Rfam family "Bacterial small subunit ribosomal RNA", at positions 34 to 1014 of the family's 1533-position model. The record is from RNAcentral. Lineage: Bacteria; Bacillati; Bacillota; Bacilli; Caryophanales; Bacillaceae.
CCCUGGAACGGGGAUGGCUAUUACAUGCAGUCGAGCGGACAGAUGAGGAGCUUGCUCCCUGAUGUUAGCGGCGGACGGGUGAGUAACACGUGGGUAACCUGCCUGUAAGACUGGGAUAACUCCGGGAAACCGGGGCUAAUACCGGAUGGUUGUCUGAACCGCAUGGUUCAGACAUAAAAGGUGGCUUCGGCUACCACUUACAGAUGGACCCGCGGCGCAUUAGCUAGUUGGUGAGGUAACGGCUCACCAAGGCGACGAUGCGUAGCCGACCUGAGAGGGUGAUCGGCCACACUGGGACUGAGACACGGCCCAGACUCCUACGGGAGGCAGCAGUAGGGAAUCUUCCGCAAUGGACGAAAGUCUGACGGAGCAACGCCGCGUGAGUGAUGAAGGUUUUCGGAUCGUAAAGCUCUGUUGUUAGGGAAGAACAAGUGCCGUUCAAAUAGGGCGGCACCUUGACGGUACCUAACCAGAAAGCCACGGCUAACUACGUGCCAGCAGCCGCGGUAAUACGUAGGUGGCAAGCGUUGUCCGGAAUUAUUGGGCGUAAAGGGCUCGCAGGCGGUUUCUUAAGUCUGAUGUGAAAGCCCCCGGCUCAACCGGGGAGGGUCAUUGGAAACUGGGGAACUUGAGUGCAGAAGAGGAGAGUGGAAUUCCACGUGUAGCGGUGAAAUGCGUAGAGAUGUGGAGGAACACCAGUGGCGAAGGCGACUCUCUGGUCUGUAACUGACGCUGAGGAGCGAAAGCGUGGGGAGCGAACAGGAUUAGAUACCCUGGUAGUCCACGCCGUAAACGAUGAGUGCUAAGUGUUAGGGGUUUCCGCCCCUUAGUGCUGCAGCUAACGCAUUAAGCACUCCGCCUGGGGAGUACGGUCGCAAGACUGAAACUCAAAGGAAUUGACGGGGGCCCGCACAAGCGUGGAGCAUGUGGUUUAAUUCGAAGCAACGCGAAGAACCUUACCAGGGUCUUGACAUCCUCUGACAUCCUAGAGAUAGGACGU